Cricetulus griseus (Chinese hamster) is the source of this 102-nucleotide small nuclear RNA. NCBI's taxonomy places the organism in Eukaryota, Metazoa, Chordata, Mammalia, Rodentia, Cricetidae. The record is from Ensembl.
GCAUUCAUGGAGAGCGCUUAUACUAAAACUGGAAUGAGGCCCAGAUUAGAACAGCCCCUGCACAAGGGUGACACACAAAAUCAUGAAGCAUUUCGUAUUAAG